RNAcentral lists this ribosomal RNA (2922 nucleotides) under Bacillus cereus. RNAcentral's name for it is "23S ribosomal RNA". It matches the Rfam family "Bacterial large subunit ribosomal RNA". Lineage: Bacteria; Bacillati; Bacillota; Bacilli; Caryophanales; Bacillaceae. The record is from RNAcentral.
GGUUAAGUUAGAAAGGGCGCACGGUGGAUGCCUUGACACUAGGAGUCGAUGAAGGACGGGACUAACGCCGAUAUGCUUCGGGGAGCUGUAAGUAAGCUUUGAUCCGAAGAUUUCCGAAUGGGGAAACCCACCAUACGUAAUGGUAUGGUAUCCUUAUCUGAAUACAUAGGGUAAGGAAGACAGACCCAGGGAACUGAAACAUCUAAGUACCUGGAGGAAGAGAAAGCAAAUGCGAUUUCCUGAGUAGCGGCGAGCGAAACGGAACAUAGCCCAAACCAAGAGGCUUGCCUCUUGGGGUUGUAGGACAUUCUAUACGGAGUUACAAAGGAACGAGGUAGACGAAGCGACCUGGAAAGGUCCGUCGUAGAGGGUAACAACCCCGUAGUCGAAACUUCGUUCUCUCUUGAAUGUAUCCUGAGUACGGCGGAACACGUGAAAUUCCGUCGGAAUCUGGGAGGACCAUCUCCCAAGGCUAAAUACUCCCUAGUGAUCGAUAGUGAACCAGUACCGUGAGGGAAAGGUGAAAAGCACCCCGGAAGGGGAGUGAAAGAGAUCCUGAAACCGUGUGCCUACAAAUAGUCAGAGCCCGUUAACGGGUGAUGGCGUGCCUUUUGUAGAAUGAACCGGCGAGUUACGAUCCCGUGCGAGGUUAAGCUGAAGAGGCGGAGCCGCAGCGAAAGCGAGUCUGAAUAGGGCGUUUAGUACGUGGUCGUAGACCCGAAACCAGGUGAUCUACCCAUGUCCAGGGUGAAGUUCAGGUAACACUGAAUGGAGGCCCGAACCCACGCACGUUGAAAAGUGCGGGGAUGAGGUGUGGGUAGCGGAGAAAUUCCAAUCGAACCUGGAGAUAGCUGGUUCUCCCCGAAAUAGCUUUAGGGCUAGCCUUAAGUGUAAGAGUCUUGGAGGUAGAGCACUGAUUGGACUAGGGGUCCUCAUCGGAUUACCGAAUUCAGUCAAACUCCGAAUGCCAAUGACUUAUCCUUAGGAGUCAGACUGCGAGUGAUAAGAUCCGUAGUCAAAAGGGAAACAGCCCAGACCGCCAGCUAAGGUCCCAAAGUGUGUAUUAAGUGGAAAAGGAUGUGGAGUUGCUUAGACAACUAGGAUGUUGGCUUAGAAGCAGCCACCAUUUAAAGAGUGCGUAAUAGCUCACUAGUCGAGUGACUCUGCGCCGAAAAUGUACCGGGGCUAAAUACACCACCGAAGCUGCGGAUUGAUACCAAUGGUAUCAGUGGUAGGGGAGCGUUCUAAGGACAGUGAAGUCAGACCGGAAGGACUGGUGGAGUGCUUAGAAGUGAGAAUGCCGGUAUGAGUAGCGAAAGACGGGUGAGAAUCCCGUCCACCGAAUGCCUAAGGUUUCCUGAGGAAGGCUCGUCCGCUCAGGGUUAGUCAGGACCUAAGCCGAGGCCGACAGGCGUAGGCGAUGGACAACAGGUUGAUAUUCCUGUACCACCUCUUUAUCGUUUGAGCAAUGGAGGGACGCAGAAGGAUAGAAGAAGCGUGCGAUUGGUUGUGCACGUCCAAGCAGUUAGGCUGAUAAGUAGGCAAAUCCGCUUAUCGUGAAGGCUGAGCUGUGAUGGGGAAGCUCCUUAUGGAGCGAAGUCUUUGAUUCCCCGCUGCCAAGAAAAGCUUCUAGCGAGAUAAAAGGUGCCUGUACCGCAAACCGACACAGGUAGGCGAGGAGAGAAUCCUAAGGUGUGCGAGAGAACUCUGGUUAAGGAACUCGGCAAAAUGACCCCGUAACUUCGGGAGAAGGGGUGCUUUCUUAACGGAAAGCCGCAGUGAAUAGGCCCAAGCGACUGUUUAGCAAAAACACAGCUCUCUGCGAAGCCGUAAGGCGAAGUAUAGGGGGUGACACCUGCCCGGUGCUGGAAGGUUAAGGAGAGGGGUUAGCGUAAGCGAAGCUCUGAACUGAAGCCCCAGUAAACGGCGGCCGUAACUAUAACGGUCCUAAGGUAGCGAAAUUCCUUGUCGGGUAAGUUCCGACCCGCACGAAAGGUGUAACGAUUUGGGCACUGUCUCAACCAGAGACUCGGUGAAAUUAUAGUACCUGUGAAGAUGCAGGUUACCCGCGACAGGACGGAAAGACCCCGUGGAGCUUUACUGUAGCCUGAUAUUGAAUUUUGGUACAGUUUGUACAGGAUAGGCGGGAGCCUUUGAAACCGGAGCGCUAGCUUCGGUGGAGGCGCUGGUGGGAUACCGCCCUGACUGUAUUGAAAUUCUAACCUACGGGUCUUAUCGACCCGGGAGACAGUGUCAGAUGGGCAGUUUGACUGGGGCGGUCGCCUCCUAAAGUGUAACGGAGGCGCCCAAAGGUUCCCUCAGAAUGGUUGGAAAUCAUUCGUAGAGUGCAAAGGCAUAAGGGAGCUUGACUGCGAGACCUACAAGUCGAGCAGGGACGAAAGUCGGGCUUAGUGAUCCGGUGGUUCCGCAUGGAAGGGCCAUCGCUCAACGGAUAAAAGCUACCCCGGGGAUAACAGGCUUAUCUCCCCCAAGAGUCCACAUCGACGGGGAGGUUUGGCACCUCGAUGUCGGCUCAUCGCAUCCUGGGGCUGUAGUCGGUCCCAAGGGUUGGGCUGUUCGCCCAUUAAAGCGGUACGCGAGCUGGGUUCAGAACGUCGUGAGACAGUUCGGUCCCUAUCCGUCGUGGGCGUAGGAAAUUUGAGAGGAGCUGUCCUUAGUACGAGAGGACCGGGAUGGACGCACCGCUGGUGUACCAGUUGUUCUGCCAAGGGCAUAGCUGGGUAGCUAUGUGCGGAAGGGAUAAGUGCUGAAAGCAUCUAAGCAUGAAGCCCCCCUCAAGAUGAGAUUUCCCAUAGCGUAAGCUAGUAAGAUCCCUGAAAGAUGAUCAGGUUGAUAGGUUCGAGGUGGAAGCAUGGUGACAUGUGGAGCUGACGAAUACUAAUAGAUCGAGGACUUAACCAU